This 235-nucleotide ribosomal RNA is filed under the name uncultured bacterium. Its description in RNAcentral is "partial 16S ribosomal RNA". It matches the Rfam family "Bacterial small subunit ribosomal RNA", at positions 99 to 334 of the family's 1533-position model. The record is from RNAcentral.
CGGACGGGUGAGUAACGCGUGGGUAACCUGCCUUGUACUGGGGGACAACAGUUAGAAAUGACUGCUAAUACCGCAUAAGCGCACAGUAUCGCAUGAUACAGUGUGAAAAACUCCGGUGGUACAAGAUGGACCCGCGUCUGAUUAGCUAGUUGGUGGGGUAACGGCCUACCAAGGCGACGAUCAGUAGCCGGCCUGAGAGGGUGACCGGCCACAUUGGGACUGAGACACGGCCCAA